This 520-nucleotide unclassified non-coding RNA is filed under the name uncultured Glomus. RNAcentral describes it as "SSU rRNA". It matches the Rfam family "Eukaryotic small subunit ribosomal RNA", at positions 569 to 1092 of the family's 1831-position model. The record is from RNAcentral. Lineage: Eukaryota; Fungi; Glomeromycota; Glomeromycetes; Glomerales; Glomeraceae.
AGCAGCCGCGGUAAUUCCAGCUCCAAUAGCGUAUAUUAAAGUUGUUGCAGUUAAAAAGCUCGUAGUUGAAUUUCGGGAUCAGUAUGUUGGUCGUGCUUCGGUACGUACUGUCAUUACUGGUUUCUACCUUCUGAAGAACCUUGAUGUCAUUAAUUUGGUGUCUUGGGAAAUCAGGACUGUUACUUUGAAAAAAUUAGAGUGUUUAAAGCAAGCAUACGCUUGAAUACAUUAGCAUGGAAUAAUGAAAUAGGACGUUUGAUUCUAUUUUGUUGGUUUCUAGGAUCGACGUAAUGAUUAAUAGGGAUAGUUGGGGGCAUUAGUAUUCAAUUGUCAGAGGUGAAAUUCUUGGAUUUAUUGAAGACUAACUACUGCGAAAGCAUUUGCCAAGGAUGUUUUCAUUAAUCAAGAACGAAAGUUAGGGGAUCGAAGACGAUCAGAUACCGUCGUAGUCUUAACCAUAAACUAUGCCGACUAGGGAUCGGAUGAUGUUAUUUUUUAAUGACUCAUUCGGCGCCUUACG